UGCCUAUUUAAUCGUACCUACUGCCCCAUCUAUUUUCAUCUCCCUUUUCGUUACUCAUUUUCGCAUUCGAGUAGCAGCUUAGGGUUAAUCGUGUUCUCUGAUUUCGGUUGGGAAUGUUUCUGGAAGUUCAGCCUUUAUGGAAUUCAUUUUCUGUGCUUUGAUGUUUUGUGAUUCCUCUUCUUAUUUUUGUUUUCUAUGAUGAAGUUUUAGGUUUUGUUUGUGUGCAGUGACGAGGCAAUUUUGUGGACUAGAGUUUCUGAUCUGGGUAGUUACUCAGAAGUUGAUUAUCAAACCCUUGGCUGUCUGAGCACAUCAAAGUUUCGAAAAUUAAGUAUUUUUUGAACAUUUUUCAUGUCUCAAAAAUAAUUGUGUUGAAUCUCACCCUUUUUCAUAUAUAAUUGAAUUUGCUUUAGAAAACAAUUUGGCUUAUGAUGAUAAUUUAAUUAUCUUAGCGGAUUUCAGUGAGAUUUUUAUCAAUGAUCUGAUUGUUACACACACUGAAGCCAUUGUUUGAUUGCUUUUAAUAUUUUGUUUAAAAAUUUGUACAUUUGGUCAUUGGUUGUAGUUCUAAUUUGAUGUAUUUGUUCUUAAUUAUGCUACUUUUAUCACCUGAAUUGAUGGGUUUCAUUACAUAGGAAAUGCAUGAUAGUGAGUACUAAUUUUAUGUUAAUGGUGCUAUGAUGAGAUGAAACACUUUGUGGUGUUUUUAGGCAGUGGACGUAACCAAAAGGUUUCGCCGUGAGCCUUCAAUUUAACGACUUCUCCUUCCACUGAGUACCAUAAUUAGAGAUUAUAAUUAGGAACAGCAUUUGAAUAAAUGCAUAUUCUUUGGUAUAAGUUAAACAAUUAGGAUCAUUGUUUUUAAUUGCGUCCAUUACCAAUUCCGGGGGAUAUGUGGUUCCUCCUGGUAUAAUGGCUCGGACGCCAGAUUAAUGACGUGGUCAUCCUGAUUGAUGGUUUCAUCAUCGUGCCAUUUGGUCUUGGAAACGCCACCAAAACUUUUUUUACUUCAAAUUUGAAGAAUACUAAUUUUAUUAUGAUUGCAGUUGAUUAUAUAGGUAGAGAUAUGUUGUAGUGUUUAUAGUUAUAUGAUUAUGAUUGCAGUUGGUUAUACUUCGAAUCAUAAGUACGUGCAAAUUAUGUGUUUUUGAAAUUAGCAUUGGAUUUUGUGAUUUGAAUCGCGUGCUAUGACGAGGCAAUUUUGUGGACUAGAGUUUCUGAUCUGGGAAUAUACUCAGAAGUUGAUUAUUAAACCCUUGGCUGUCUGAGCAUACCAAAUUUUUCGAUUCAACUAAAAUUACUACAAAAUUCACUGGAAACUUUUUUAUUUCUUAAUUGAUUAUAUUUUUUAAUUCAUAUUUUGAUUAGAUUUCUGUAGAUUGAGGCUUUUAUUUGGCUUAUGAUGAUAAUUUUAAUAUCUUAGCGGAUUUCAGUGAGAUUUCUAUCAAUGAUCUGAUUGUUACACACACUGAGGCCAUGAAUUUUAUGCUGUGGAGUCUUAUUUUCUCAUUUUUAUUGUUUGGUUAUUAUUUUUUAACAAUUUUAUGAUCUGAUUGUUACACACACUGUGAGGACAUGCUGUGGAGCGGUGAAAAGACAGAAUGUAUUCCUAUGGAUUCUAAGGGAGAACGAAGGACGGAGUGGAGGAUGGAGGCGGAUCGGUUGGAACGCGGGCUAGCCGGCCGAUGACCCAAUCCAACAACAGCAACAACUGAGCUAUUUGUCCUCGCCACGUUUAAUAAUCCGGCGAACAUGAACCUGAGUGGACCAAAUCACGUAAAACUUAUAAACUCAAUAUGCAUAAACUUUUGACACAGCAAAUGGUCAGUUGAACGUGCAGUCACCGUCGAUGCUACCCUUUGUAGUACUACAAAUCAUUUGCAGAAGAUAUCAAUACCAGAACCAUAUCCAAGACACCCUCCAUCAAGAACCUUGUGCUAAAUGGUAACUUAAUGGUGUGACAAAUGUUAACUGAAGCAUUAUCUAAAGAGUAUGGGAAGCAGGUGACAUGUAAUAGAAGCAAUAAAUGAAAUAGAAAAUUGAUAUUAAGUGCAAUGCGACUUACCGAUCCCAUUCGUGCACAAGAGUCUCCAUUAAAAUUGGAAACUCCUUAUUCAUUUGCUGCAUAAUCAGAGUUAGCACGCCACUGUCUUCUAUUUCCUUCAGCUGAAGAAAGCAGACCCAAAUUAGCAUAUAGAGAAGAACUUCAUAGCACAAACACUAUUCAGACUUAUCACUAGUACAUGAGGAUUAUGAAAUUUACCAUUUUGUCAAAAUAACCAGAGAUGGGAGAAUGUUGUCCAAAAGAAAGAGAAAAGUAUAACAAUUUUGGUAUAUACCAAAGUGGCAUCUUACUCCAGGUUCUACUUUAUGUAAUCUGUCUCGAUCCAAAUCAUAACCCAUCAAUAUAAAGGGCUCUUCAUGCCAAUUAAACAA
Molecule: long non-coding RNA, 2436 nt
Organism: Vigna angularis (adzuki bean)
Lineage: Eukaryota; Viridiplantae; Streptophyta; Magnoliopsida; Fabales; Fabaceae
Exons: 2
Source: RefSeq, a predicted model, not a curated record